GAAAUCCCUUCAGGCGGUUGGCGGCGAAAACCCGAGGUCGACUACAAAUUUAAAAUUUCUUUGCCGCCAAUUCUUUUUAAAUCCCCCAAAAUUUCGAUUACCUUUGUUGAGUUGAUAUGUUUCCUUUCCUUAAUCGCGUCUGAUCUGUUGAUUGAGCCGCUUUUUUGCGGGCUUUCUCAUCAUCCAAACAAAGUCGCGAGCGAAUCUGCGAAUCUCAGUAUCUCGCUGUUGCUAAAAUCUUGAGGAAUUUGUAUGAAUAUCAGCAAUCGAUGCUUAUUUCUACUCGUUAUAGCUGUCACAAACGCCUCUGAUACUCAAACCUUGAGAAAUUUGAAUGGAUCUCUGUAAUCGAAGGUGGUGCCUAUUUCUAUCUCGUUAUAGCUGCGCCUCUGUAGAUUACGCUGAUGCUCAAAUCUUGAAGAAUUUCAAUGGAUAUCAGUAAUCGGAGGCUUGAUCCACAUAUUUCUCAUCUGCUCAGCUUUCACAUCGACACUCUGGAUUUCAUCGGCUCUCGUGAACAGAAUGUUCCUACUUAAAGCAAAGGACUUGAUGACCGAAAGUUGAGAAGAUAGAAGAAAAAGGAAGCAGAAGAUAAUAGAACAUAGUACUCAUCACAGAAAGAAAACUCAGAGAGAAGCAACGAAAAAGAAGUGGUGGAGAGAAUACAUCCACAAUGAACAGACAUUCUCUCAAAAUGAGGUGAGCUUCUCUUCCUGUUCUAAUACAAACUAGGGAAGUAGUAUUUUUCUAGUACCAUGUAGAUCAACUUGCCCACAUUAGUUAAAGAAAAAACUGCUGAAGAACAGGUUGAGAGAGAUAGAAGGGGGGGGGGGGGGGCUCUGUUUUCUC
Molecule: long non-coding RNA, 849 nt
Organism: Tripterygium wilfordii
Lineage: Eukaryota; Viridiplantae; Streptophyta; Magnoliopsida; Celastrales; Celastraceae
Exons: 5
Source: RefSeq, a predicted model, not a curated record